UGGAUGCCUAGGAGAUUUUGGCCGAGGAAGGACGCAUAUGGCGGCGAUACUCGUCGGGUAGGUGCCAUAAACCUAUUAUCCGGCGGUUUCCGAAUGGAGCAAUCCACCGCGUUUUACGCGGUAGCCACUCAUAAAAAUAGUCUCUUUAUGGGAUUAUAUAGUGUUUGGCGGGGUACGGCGUGAACUGAAACAUCUAAUUAACGCCAGGAAAAAAAAUCAUAGAGAUUCCCCAAGUAGCGGUGAGCGAAAAGGGAACAGUCUAAACUCGCUUGUGCGUUGCACAAGAAUUUUUAAGUAACAAUUUUCAAUUUUCAUUGAAUUUUCAUUUGUUUAAUUUUUAAAAUUUUUGAACAUUUGGAUUUGAUUAGAAAUUAGAAAUUAAGAAUUAGAAAUUCUCGCGCAGCGUGCGAGUGGGGGUUGCAGGGCAGACGAUAUUCGAUGCAAGCAUGGAUAGCAGAAGGACCCGGAAUGGUCCCCCAAAGUACGUGAAAGGCGUGUACGCAAAAUUUAUGCUUCCGAUAGUUUGUUCCUAAGUACCAUGGGGUACGGUGAAACCCUGUGGGAAUCUGGGGCGGCCACGUUCCAAGACUAAAUACCGAAAUCUACCGAUAGUGAACUAGUACCGUGAGGGAAAGGUGAAAAGCACCCCGAGAGGGGGAUGAAAUAGACCUGAAAUUAUUGGCUAACAAGCAGAGAGAGCUUGUCCAUAGGACAAGAAUUUUCAAGUAUCAAUUUUCAAUUUUCAUUGAAUUUUCAAUGUUUCAUUUUUAAAAUUUUGAACAUUAGAAUUUGAUUGUAAAUUGUAAAUUGUAAAUUGGUAAUUCUCGCCUUGUGGGCGGGUGAUCUCGUGCCUAUUGAAGAAUGAACCGGUGAGUUAUUCAACACUUUUUGUCUAACCAAUUAAGUUGGGAAGGCGUAGUGAAAGCGUGCUCUAAAUGAGCGAUUUUACAGAGUGUGGAAUAGACCCGAAACCGGGUGAGCUAACCUUGAGCAGGGUGAAUGCUGGCGAAAGCUCAGCAGGAGGCCCGAACUCGUAUCCGUAGCAAUGGGUUGAGAUGACUUGAGGUUAGGGGCAAUAUGCCAAACGAACCCGGAGAUAGCUGGUUCUCCCCGAAAUAUAUUUAGGUAUAGCGGAAUGUUAUAGGUACUGUGGGGUAGAGCACUGAAUGAAUUCCUGCGUCGCAAGAUGUAGGCUUCAAUCAAACUCCGAAUACACAGUAAUUUUUUCAUUCUAGUCAGACAUGUCGGGCUAAGCUGAUGUGUCAAAAGGGAAAAAGCCCAGACUUCCAUCUAAGGUCUCUAAAUAAAAGCUAAGUUUUGAAGGAAGUCAAAAUUCAUAGACAACCAGGAUGUUGGCUUAGAAGCAGCCAUCAUUUAAAGAAAGCGUAAUAGCUCACUGGAGGAUGAUUUUUGGCGCCGAAAAUUUAUCGAGGAUUAAGCUUUUUACCGAAGUUGAAGAUACUUGUGCGUUGCACAAGAAUUUUUAAGUAACAAUUUUCAAUUUUCAUUGAAUUUUCAUUUGUCCAAUUUUUAAAAUUAAAAACAUUUGAGAUUUGAUUAGAAAUUAGAAAUUAGAAAUUAGAAAUUCUCGCGUAGCGCGCGAGCAUGGUAGGGGAGCGUCCUGUUCUGCAGUGAAGGUGUGGCUGUGAGGCCUACUGGAGCGGAUAGGAGUGAGAAUGCCGGUAUGAGUAGCGAGAGCACAGUGAGAAACUGUGCCGCCGAAAGCCCAAGGUUUCCUCCGCAAUGUAAGUCAGCGGAGGGUUAGUCGGCCCUAAGGGGGUGCCUCGUUAAAGGGGUAUAGCCCGAUGGAUAAGUCGUUUAAAAUUCGACUACAAGAUAUAUGAAUUCCAAGGGGAGGACGAAAGUGGAAGAGUUGAUCCCGCCAAUGGCGGGACUAAGUAGCGAGAUAGGACUUCGAGGAAAAUCCUUUAGUCUGUUUAAUUAAGCUACAACGGAGAGGACCCCGAUUUAUCGGGAAACAAUUCAAUAGCUUUCAGUUUCCGAGAAAAGUCUCAUUGGCCAGGUGCCAUACGGUACCUAGAAAAUGUAUAUUUUACCGUACCGAAUACCGACACAGGUGGGCAAGUGUAAGUGCACUUAGGCGAUCGGGAGAAAAAUGAUUAAGGAACUCGGCAAAAAAGCUGGGCGUAACCUUUGGGAGAUGCCCUGCCUCGAUUAAUCUCGAGGCUACAACAAAAGACUACUUAGCGACUGUUUAUCUAAAACACAGGUCCCUGCAAAAGCGAAAGCUGACGUAUAGGGGCUGACACCUGCCCAGUGCUGGUAAGUCAAAAGUAGAGAGUGAUGUUCCAAAAGAAUUAAGCUUUUUACUUAAGCUCCAGUAAACGGCAGCAGUAACUAUAACUGUUCUAUGGUAGCGAAGUUCCUUGUCGGGCGAGUUCCGACCCGCACGAAUGGUAGAACGACUGAGUAACUGUCUUAAUCAUUUACCCGGCGAAAUUGAGUUGGCUGUGAAGACGCGGCCUAGUUGUCCUUGGACAAGAAGACCCCGGGAGCUUUACUGUAUCUUGGCAUUUGAAAGUUUAUUUUGACUGUUUAGAAUAGGAGGGAGGGAGGUGCCGUCUGGUACCUCCCAAUAGUGAAAUACCUCUCUUCGGAAUAUGCAAUCAUUACCUUAUCGCCGCACAAAAAUCCGGCUAAGGGACAGUGUCUGGUGGGCAGUUUAACUGGGGAGGUUGACUCCUAAAUCGUAACGGAGUUGUACAAAGGUUGGCUAAUUACGGAUGGAAAUCGUAAUGAUAGUGCAAAGGCAUAAGCCAGCUUAACUGCGAGACCUACAAGUCGAGCAGAGACGAAAGUCGGUCUUAGUGAUCCUCCGUAGCCUAGUGGUAGGCUCGGAGCUUAACGGAUAAAAGCUACCCCGGGGAUAACAGGCUGAUCGCAUCCAAGCGUCCACAGCGACGAUGCGGUUUGGCACCUUAAAUAACAUUGGGGCGCCUAUAGAAGUAAUUCUAUAAGUCUGGUUAUUCUACAACGCGUUUAGAGAACGCGUAGAAAUAAUAAAAUCAACUAGUUAAUAUCGGUGGACUCCUUCGACUCGAACAGUCGCUCAGGACAAUACCGAGGGAAGGAGGUACCGUAUGGCACCUCCCCCGUAUCGACUUGUGUUUGGUUUCAAACGAACACGGAUGGAAGUCUCUGUCCGAAGUAACAUCGGACAAAUCUAUAGCUUCCAUAAUUAGACUAGCUCCUUUAAGUAAAGGAAACUCGAAGCACGAAUAUCGAAGCUCGAAACUUUUUCGAAUUUCGGAUUUAGAAUUUCGGAUUUCCGGUGUGAAGGAUGAAGGUAUAGUCAAUGCACUUAGUAAUAAGUCGCGAUGUCGGCUCAUCGCAUCCUGGGGGUGGAGAAGCUCCCAAUGGUCUGGCUGUUCGCCAGUUAAAGCGGUACGCGAGCUGGGUUCAGAGCGUCGUAAGACAGCUCGGUCUCUAUCCAGGACAACCGUUGAUAUUUGAGGAGAGCCGUCCCUAGUACGAGAGGACUGGGAUGGAGGAAUCCCUGGUGUGCCAGUUGUUUCUAAAGAAGCAUCGCUGGGUAGCUAGAUUCCUUACUGAUAACCGCUGAAAGCAUCUAAGUGGGAAGCAGACUCCAAGAUUAGAUAUCGAUUUGCGCGCAGCGCAAGAGUUUUCAAUUUAAAAUUUUCAAUUUACAUUGAAUUUUCAUUGUUUCAAUUUUUCAGAAUUUGACCAUUUGGAUUUGAUUAGAAAUUAGAAAUUAAGAAUUAGAAAUUCUCGCGCUGUGCGCGAGUGAGAUCCCUUCAAGACCAGGAGGUUGAUAGGCGGGCGGUGUAAGCAUAGUAAUAUGUUGAGCCUACCCGUACUAAUGAUCGAU
This 3850-nucleotide ribosomal RNA is filed under the name Candidatus Levybacteria bacterium RIFCSPLOWO2_02_FULL_40_18. Its description in RNAcentral is "23S ribosomal RNA". It matches the Rfam family "Bacterial large subunit ribosomal RNA". Lineage: Bacteria; Candidatus Levyibacteriota. RNAcentral also lists the same sequence under 2 other names. The record is from RNAcentral.